RNAcentral lists this ribosomal RNA (107 nucleotides) under Erinaceus europaeus (western European hedgehog). Lineage: Eukaryota; Metazoa; Chordata; Mammalia; Eulipotyphla; Erinaceidae. The record is from RNAcentral.
GUCUAUGGCCAUACCACCCUGAACACACCUGAUCUUGUCUGAUCUUGGAAGCUAAGCAAGGGUCAGGCCUGGUUAGUACUUGGAAGGGAGGAAUAGGCUUUUAGGAU